Oryza brachyantha (malo sina) is the source of this 1325-nucleotide long non-coding RNA. RefSeq lists it as uncharacterized. The record is from RefSeq and is a predicted model, not a curated record. Lineage: Eukaryota; Viridiplantae; Streptophyta; Magnoliopsida; Poales; Poaceae. The transcript has 5 exons.
UGGAGAGUUACUUAUUUCUGUUUUAGGUCCCCUUUGCGUUUCCUCACUCCCGCGCCCCCUUCUCUCCGACACGCCGCGGCGGCGGAGCUCCGGCGAGCAUCCGCCGCGACGGGCCAGGGGGCAACGGUUCGGCGGCGGGGGGACAUGCUCAAUCUGGCCGCCAAUCCGAGUGAGACGGGAGUCCAGCUGCUACGACGCUGGUAUGUGCGGUGCUAGCGAGCGUUCAAGAGAUCGGCGGCGGAUGUGGUCGAAGGGAGAAUCCGCUGUGCUUCCACUACGGCUGGCCAUCCAUCCCCUAUUGAACUUGAAAUUGAAAGCUAUGGCUUGAAAUCUGGCAGAGAAAUGAUUUCAGAAUCUCCCGUGCUGCACGGUCUUUCUGAUCUUCGAUUGAGGUGACCAGGUGGUUGUAGCAUCGACGUUCAAACUCGGAGAAGAUAUCCUGGGCAGGACAGCACUCACAGUCAGCCAAAUCAAUAGCCCACACCAACAUUACUUAGAGCAUGCAAUGAUGCGAUGCGAGUCGAGAUAAAGAGAAAAUAUCACAGUCAUACUUUCAAAUCAAGCGCUGCGUAUGUCCUCUUUACUUCAGAAACAGACCUUGAAUCCUUCUUCCCAUAGUUCUUCUGUGAAUGUGUAUGUGUGGUGUUAUUUCUGUUCAUCUCCACACUUUUCAGUUAGAACGAAAUGGUAACUUACACUUACAUGUAAUACUUCUAUUUGAUUGCUGUUAGCAUGACCCAGAGCCUCCACUAUUAACCAGGAGCACUUAUGAUCUUCGAUGUCAGUUCCCAUCUUCAAUAUAGAAUAAUGUCAGCUGUUCUCUGUUUCUGAAAACUAUUUUGAUAUUUGUUGUUACCUUGCCUAUGGUGUUGGGGUCAGCAAAACAGUCCAGGUAGUCAUCCUGACAAGAGGUUCCUGAACUGUCAAACUAAAGAUAAGAGCAAAGCAUUGGCCACCUAUAUAAAGCCGUAGAGGAAAAUAUGAACAUACUGCGCGGACUGAAUAUACAUGGCAUGGAUAAUGGAUUACCAAGCAAUCUAUUGUGUGACACAAUUAUCAUCUGAAGAAUGGAAGUUCUGUCUUUAAAAGAUUCAUGCAACAACUAAAAACAGAUCUUACAGUUCCACUGCCUAUAAUACUCAGAUAUAUGACACUGAGAGAAGUGAAAAGGUAGGAUUGCAUGAGUUUUGGUCUUCCAGACUUACAGGAAGGUAAAAGGAGUAGUAGGCUGUCUUGUACUUAACAAUGCGACGGUAGCUACAUGACAAAAGAAAAGAUAGUUACUCCCUCCUUUCUAAAAUAUAACUACUUUUAGAAUAGUGCGA